RNAcentral lists this ribosomal RNA (1338 nucleotides) under uncultured bacterium. Its description in RNAcentral is "bacterial SSU rRNA". It matches the Rfam family "Bacterial small subunit ribosomal RNA", at positions 28 to 1387 of the family's 1533-position model. The record is from RNAcentral.
GACGAACGCUGGCGGCGCGCCUAACACAUGCAAGUCGAACGAGCGAGAGAGAGCUUGCUUUCUCGAGCGAGUGGCGAACGGGUGAGUAACGCGUGAGGAACCUGCCUCAAAGAGGGGGACAACAGUUGGAAACGACUGCUAAUACCGCAUAAGCCCACGGGUCGGCAUCGACCAGAGGGAAAAGGAGCAAUCCGCUUUGAGAUGGCCUCGCGUCCGAUUAGCUAGUUGGUGAGGUAACGGCCCACCAAGGCAACGAUCGGUAGCCGGACUGAGAGGUUGAACGGCCACAUUGGGACUGAGACACGGCCCAGACUCCUACGGGAGGCAGCAGUGGGGAAUAUUGCACAAUGGGGGAAACCCUGAUGCAGCGACGCCGCGUGGAGGAAGAAGGUCUUCGGAUUGUAAACUCCUGUUGUUGGGGAAGAUAAUGACGGUACCCAACAAGGAAGUGACGGCUAACUACGUGCCAGCAGCCGCGGUAAAACGUAGGUCACAAGCGUUGUCCGGAAUUACUGGGUGUAAAGGGAGCGCAGGCGGGAAGACAAGUUGGAAGUGAAAUCUAUGGGCUCAACCCAUAAACUGCUUUCAAAACUGUUUUUCUUGAGUAGUGCAGAGGUAGGCGGAAUUCCCGGUGUAGCGGUGGAAUGCGUAGAUAUCGGGAGGAACACCAGUGGCGAAGGCGGCCUACUGGGCACCAACUGACGCUGAGGCUCGAAAGUGUGGGUAGCAAACAGGAUUAGAUACCCUGGUAGUCCACACCGUAAACGAUGAUUACUAGGUGUUGGAGGAUUGACCCCUUCAGUGCCGCAGUUAACACAAUAAGUAAUCCACCUGGGGAGUACGACCGCAAGGUUGAAACUCAAAGGAAUUGACGGGGGCCCGCACAAGCAGUGGAGUAUGUGGUUUAAUUCGACGCAACGCGAAGAACCUUACCAAGUCUUGACAUCCCUUGACAGACAUAGAAAUAUGUAAUCUCUUCGGAGCAAGGAGACAGGUGGUGCAUGGUUGUCGUCAGCUCGUGUCGUGAGAUGUUGGGUUAAGUCCCGCAACGAGCGCAACCCUUAUGGUCAGUUACUACGCAAGAGGACUCUGGCUAGACUGCCGUUGACAAAACGGAGGAAGGUGGGGAGGACGUCAAAUCAUCAUGCCCUCUAUGACUUGGGCUACACACGUACUACAAUGGCGUUAAACAAAGAGAAGCAAGACCGCGAGGUGGAGCAAAACUCAGAAACAACGUCCCAGUUCGGACUGCAGGCUGCAACUCGCCUGCACGAAGUCGGAAUUGCUAGUAAUCGUGGAUCAGCAUGCCACGGUGAAUAAGUUCCCGGGCCUUGCACA